Spodoptera frugiperda (fall armyworm) is the source of this 244-nucleotide long non-coding RNA. RefSeq lists it as uncharacterized. The transcript is spliced from 2 exons. Lineage: Eukaryota; Metazoa; Arthropoda; Insecta; Lepidoptera; Noctuidae. The record is from RefSeq and is a predicted model, not a curated record.
AGAGGUGGUUCCCCAUCCUGCAGCCCAGGCAGCUGAGUUGUCACCGGGGAAGUAGUUGGCACCAGCGAUGGAAGCAGCGCGGACAUUGUUGUUGAAGGAGAAGGUGGAGGCGGAGCGGAGGAUAGCGAUGUCGUUGUCCAAAGUUCUGGAGUUGUAUGAAGGGUGGACGAUGUUGGUGUUGACGUUGUGAACGACACCACCGCUGUUGGCCCAGGUGGAGCCAAGACGGAUUCUCCAUCUGUUA